This 253-nucleotide ribosomal RNA is filed under the name uncultured bacterium. RNAcentral's name for it is "partial 16S ribosomal RNA". It matches the Rfam family "Bacterial small subunit ribosomal RNA", at positions 524 to 776 of the family's 1533-position model. The record is from RNAcentral.
GACGAACCGAGCGAACGUUGUUCGGAAUCACUGGGCUUAAAGGGCGCGUAGGCGGCUUGCCAAGUCCGGGGUGAAAUCCUGCAGCUUAACUGUAGAAGGGCCUUGGAUACUGGCGAGCUCGAGGGAGGUAGGGGUAUGUGGAACUUCCGGUGGAGCGGUGAAAUGCGUUGAUAUCGGAAGGAACGCCGGUGGCGAAAGCGACGUACUGGACCUCUUCUGACGCUGAGGCGCGAAAGCUAGGGGAGCAAACGGG